Molecule: ribosomal RNA, 264 nt
Filed under: uncultured bacterium
Lineage: Bacteria
Description: partial 16S ribosomal RNA
Rfam family: Bacterial small subunit ribosomal RNA
Source: RNAcentral
AAUCAACGCUGGCGGCGUGCCUCAGACAUGCAAGUCGAACGAUUAAACUUUCCUUCGGGAAAGAUAUAAAGUGGCGCACGGGUGAGUAACACGUAGGUAAUGUGCCUUUGGGUGGGGAAGUAACUUAGGAACUUAAGCUAAUACCGCAUAAUGCAGCGGCUCCUUCGGGAGACAGUUGUUAAAGAUUAUCGCCAAAGAGCAGCCUGCGGCAGAUUAGCUAGUUGGUAAGGUAACGGCACCAAGGCGACGAUCUGUAUCCGACCU